UGAGACUUCGUAUGCAUAUUCAGUUUUUACUGCAUAAGCAAUUGUUCAAACACAACUGUACAUAUUUUCUUCAGGAUCAGUGUAUUAUUUUUUAAAUUCACAAGUCAUUCACAAGCCCUGAGACUCUAGCAAUCUCUCAAACGCACACAUCACGUUACUGUUUUAUCUUGUAAAAUGACACAAAACUGAUUAAAAUAGCUCUUACAAAGACAUUCCCAUACUACACAUACACACCUCCACCUGCAGCAAAUAAGACAAGAUUCAACGAGGGCACCCAAACAGAUUACUGGUAGAUAGCAGAAAAGCCCAUUUGUAACUCUAACGGCAUGCUCGUUUAGAGACGAUCACGGCUAAGCGAGUUAAUUAAGUCUGAUUGUCCUUCACCUAAUCUCUCCACUUCCAGCAACGUCAACUAACAAUAGUGAAAUAUCGUAAUCUGCGGCUGUGGAUUUGUCUGACGGCAGAAAGUAAUUACGAUGAGCAUCACAUGGCAGGCGUGGGCCACAGAAAAAAUGGCUGACAGUUUAAGACUCUCUAAUGCUCUGGCACAGAGGCCAGCCAGGAGACAGCAUGGAGGGUGCAAAGAUAAAGCUGUGGGUUUAUCGGAGUGCUCUCAGGGGAACGACGGAGGACGUUCAGGAAUUUAACGUCAGUCUGAGGGAGGCUCUCACCAUCAAGUAGGGCGAGUUGCCAUGGAGAUUGCCUGCCUGCCCCGCCCCUGGGAGGGGCCGAUUGGAUGGGACCUGAUGAGACACGAGUCAACAACUGUCAAUCAAACACAGAAACUGUCAGUCAAUCGCAUUAACUACCAAGCAGCAUACUGUUGUUAUGUGUUUUGGGAUAUACAGAUACUCAGUUAAUGUGGUUUGUAUUUACUCACCAGUGUACACUAUAGCACUGCUUUUAUGGACACACAUAGACAUGUAAUCUAAAAAGGCUUAAUGAGGGAUUCACUCUAAUGUAAUAUUAUAUGUUAUAAUUUAAUAUAAUGUUUUAUAACUAUUGGAUCGUUGUGCAACAUAUUUAAAAGCACACGUGUAUGAUUUACAGUACAAACUGAUGCACAGCCCUUCUCCACUCCUUCCCUGCACUUCUGCUGUAUGGCCACCAGGUGUCUGUCCUGCCACUGGUCUGUAAGGUGAGGCCGAGGCGUCAGUUUUAGGAUUGGGUUCACAAGGUCAGUCACAAUGCAGUAAUCAUGCCCUGUCCACAGGAAACCCUAUUAGACUGUAUCAGCACCUGAGCUGUAUCACCUGAGCUCCUCUCUCAAGAGUUUUUGGGCACUUCUAGAGUUCUGAUUGUCUGAGAACACCAGCGUUGAGUUUAGAGGGGUUCAACAGUUCCUCAAGAGGGGUCACCUGACUUACAGUGUUAAGAAGGGGUCACACAUGGGUCAAAGGUAAGGUCACAUUUGACUUGGUGACAGUGAUUCUUUAUUAUUAAAAAAAAAAAUACAAAAAUACAAAUUUAUUUUAAUAAUUUUUAUACAUUUAUUAUAUAAA
This is a long non-coding RNA of Cyprinus carpio (common carp), 1502 nucleotides long. RefSeq lists it as uncharacterized. NCBI's taxonomy places the organism in Eukaryota, Metazoa, Chordata, Actinopteri, Cypriniformes, Cyprinidae. The transcript has 3 exons. The record is from RefSeq and is a predicted model, not a curated record.